GUAAAUAUAGUUUAACAAAAAUAUUAGAUUGUGAAUCUAAUGACAGAAGCUAGCAUCUUCUUAUUUACC
Molecule: transfer RNA, 69 nt
Filed under: Sorex excelsus (lofty shrew)
Lineage: Eukaryota; Metazoa; Chordata; Mammalia; Eulipotyphla; Soricidae
Also listed under: 1 other name
Description: tRNA-His
Rfam family: tRNA
About the family: Transfer RNA (tRNA) molecules are approximately 80 nucleotides in length. Their secondary structure includes four short double-helical elements and three loops (D, anti-codon, and T loops).
Source: RNAcentral